GAUGAACGCUGGCGGCAUGCCUAAUACAUGCAAGUCGAACGAGAGGAAGGAAAGCUUGCUUUCCUGAAUCUAGUGGCGAACGGGUGAGUAACACGUAGGUAACCUGCCCAUGUGCCCGGGAUAACUUCUGGAAACGGAUGCUAAAACCGGAUAGGUAGCAGACAAGCAUUUGACUGCUAUUAAAGUGGCCUUGGCCAUGAACAUGGAUGGACCUGCGGUGCAUUAGCUGGUUGGUGAGGUAACGGCCCACCAAGGCGACGAUGCAUAGCCGGCCUGAGAGGGGCGGACGGCCGACAUUGGGGACUGAGACACGGCCCAAACUCCUACGGGAGGCAGCUGUAGGGAAUUUUUCGGCAAUGGGGGAAACCCUGACCGAGCAACGCCGCGUGAACGACGAAGGCCUUAGGGUCGUAAAGUUCUGUUGCGAAGGAAGAACGCCGGAGGGAGGAAAUG
This 453-nucleotide ribosomal RNA is filed under the name uncultured bacterium. Its description in RNAcentral is "bacterial SSU rRNA". It matches the Rfam family "Bacterial small subunit ribosomal RNA", at positions 28 to 467 of the family's 1533-position model. The record is from RNAcentral.